GAGGACCUGCUGGAGCAAGGGUACGCCACGGCCCUCUCAGGGCACCCACUGCGCUUCAGUGAGAGAGAGGGCAGCAUAUACCUCAAUGACUUCGCGCGCGUGGUGAGCAGCGACCAUGAGGCCGUGAACGGUAUCCUGCACUUCAUUGAUCGUGUCCUGCUGCCCCCCGAGGCGCUGCACUGGGAGCCUGAUGAUGCUCCCAUCCCGAGGGUAUGACAGGCACGGGCCUGGGAGCUGGAAGACAGGCAGCUGGGGGCCUGGGAUCCUCCCUUCCCGCCUGGCCUAGCUGUUUAUGAGAGCCUUUCCUCAGAGAAAUGUCACCGCCGCCGCCCAGGGCUUUGGUUACAAGAUCUUCAGCGGCCUCCUGAAGGUGGCCGGCCUCCUGCCCCUGCUUCGAGAGGCAUCCCAUAGGCCCUUCACAAUGGUGUGGCCCACAGACGCCGCCUUUCGAGCCCUGCCUCCGGAUCGCCAGGCCUGGCUGUACCAUGAGGACCACCGUGACAAGCUAGCAGCCGUUCUGCGGGGCCACAUGAUUCGCAAUGUCGAGGUGGGUGCAGCCCCCAACCUUGGUCUUCACUGUCUGCAGCUCAGCCUGCCUCUCCACCUCCAACCAUGACUCCACUUGCUCAGGCCUUGGCAUCUGACCUGCCCAACCUGGGCCCACUUCGAACCAUGCAUGGGACCCCCAUCUCUUUCUCCUGUAGCCGAAUGCGGCCCGGUGAGCUCAUGGUGGGUGAGGAUGAUGCUCGCAUUGUGCAGCGACACUUGCCCUUUGAGGGUGGCCUGGCCUAUGGCAUCGACCAGCUGCUGGAGCCACCUGGCCUUGGUGCUCGCUGUGACCACUUUGAGACCCGGCCCCUGCGACUGAACACCUGCAGCAUCUGUGGGCUGGAGCCACCCUGUCCUGAGGGGUCACAGGAGCAGGUACAGGGCUAGGGGCUGAGUGGGGGUGGUGGGGUGGGGGCAGGCAGAGCCCAAGGACCACCAAACUCAGAACCACCCAACUGCGGCCUGACUCCUUUGGCCCAGGGCAGCCCUGAGGCCUGCUGGCGCUUCUACCCGAAGUUCUGGACGUCCCCUCCGCUGCACUCUUUGGGAUUACGCAGCGUCUGGGUCCACCCCAGCCUUUGGGGUAGGCCCCAAGGCCUGGGCAGGGGCUGCCACCGCAACUGUGUCACCACCACCUGGAAGCCCAGCUGCUGCCCUGGUCACUAUGGCAGUGAGUGCCAAGCUUGCCCUGGCGGCCCCAGCAGCCCUUGUAGUGACCGUGGCGUAUGCAUGGACGGCAUGAGUGGCAGUGGGCAGUGUCUGUGCCGUUCAGGUUUUGCUGGGACAGCCUGUGAACUCUGUGCUCCUGGUGCCUUUGGGCCCCAUUGUCAAGCCUGCCACUGCACUGUGCAUGGCCGCUGUGAUGAGGGCCUUGGGGGCUCUGGCUCCUGCUUCUGUGAUGAAGGCUGGACUGGGCCACGCUGUGAGGUGCAACUGGAGCUGCAGCCUGUGUGUACCCCACCCUGUGCACCUGAGGCUGUGUGCCGUGCAGGCAACAGCUGCGAGUGUGGCCUGGGCUAUGAAGGGGAUGGCCGCAUGUGUACAGUGGCAGACCUGUGCCAGGACGGGCAUGGCGGCUGCAGUGAGCAUGCCAACUGUAGCCAGGUAGGAACAGUGGUCACUUGUACCUGCCUGCCCGACUACGAGGGUGAUGGCUGGAGCUGCCGGGCCCGCAACCCCUGCACAGAUGGCCACCGCGGGGGCUGCAGCGAGCAUGCCGACUGCUUGAGCACCGGCCUGAACACACGGCGCUGUGAGUGCCAUGCAGGCUACGUAGGCGAUGGACUGCAGUGUCUGGAGGAGUCGGAACCACCUGUGGACCGCUGCCUGGGCCAGCCACCGCCCUGCCACUCAGAUGCCGUGUGCACUGACCUGCACUUCCAGGGUGUGUCCCCCUGCCCACUCCCAGUAUCCAUUUCAUUCCUCAGAGCCGGCCAGCUGACCGUGCACCCCUCCAUUCUGCAGAGAAACGGGCUGGCGUCUUCCACCUCCAGGCCACCAGCGGCCCUUAUGGUCUGAACUUUUCGGAGGCUGAGGUGGCAUGCGAAGCACAGGGAGCCGUCCUUGCUUCAUUCCCUCAGCUCUCUGCUGCCCAGCAGGUGUGUGGGGCCCAGAAGUGUUGGGGGAGGCCUUGACUGAGUCUUGGGUCUCAGUAUCCCCUCCUGUUCCUACAGCUGGGCUUCCACCUGUGCCUCAUGGGCUGGCUGGCCAAUGGCUCCACUGCCCACCCUGUGGUUUUCCCUGCGGCGGACUGUGGCAAUGGUCGGGUGGGCAUAGUCAGCCUGGGUGCCCGCAAGAACCUCUCGGAGCGCUGGGAUGCCUACUGCUUCCGUGUGCAAGAUGUGGCCUGCCGUUGCCGAGAUGGCUUCGUGGGUGACGGGAUCAGCAUGUGCAAUGGGAAGCUGCUGGAUGUGCUGGCUGCCACUGCCAACUUCUCCACCUUCUAUGGGAUGCUACUGGGCUAUGCCAAUGCCACCCAGCGGGGUCUCGACUUCCUGGACUUCCUGAAUGAUGAGCUCACAUAUAAGACACUCUUUGUCCCUGUCAAUGAAGGCUUUGUGGACAACAUGACGCUGAGUGGCCCAGACUUGGAGCUGCACGCCUCCAACGCCACCCUCCU
This 2668-nucleotide small RNA is filed under the name Pongo abelii (Sumatran orangutan). Its description in RNAcentral is "retained intron". The record is from RNAcentral. Lineage: Eukaryota; Metazoa; Chordata; Mammalia; Primates; Hominidae.